Molecule: long non-coding RNA, 1248 nt
Organism: Oncorhynchus keta (chum salmon)
Lineage: Eukaryota; Metazoa; Chordata; Actinopteri; Salmoniformes; Salmonidae
Exons: 4
Source: RefSeq, a predicted model, not a curated record
AUGGGUUGAUUUGGGACUCUACAGAAAGACACCUGUUUAACAGGUGUAGUUGUAGUUGUCACCAGGAGGGGGCAGCAUACCAUACAGUCAGGAGAUCCGCUUAGGAAUCAAUGGGAGAUUCUUAAUAGGUUUUUACUAAAGGGACAGUUGUACAUUUACUGGGGGGGCUGGUCCAAAAAUGUUUUUUUUUGUUUCUUCGGUGAGGUUUGUGUGAUGUUUUUAAUUAGGCACAGGGGAUGGUAGUGUAUGUUUCCGUGGUUUACAUUCUUCAUUUUGCAGGUGUUACUAUUUACAUUUCUUCCAUAUAGCAACAUGUCCUCAUCUCCCUGCUCCUGUCCUUAAAAGGUGUUUUGGUACUUCCCUAGCGCAGUCGCUUUUCUGCACGCAACUCUAUCCUGCCCUCUAGUCAUAGUGACAGUAGUGGUAGGUUUGUCUACAUCUGCAAUAGGCUAACUAUACAGUCAACUCUAUCCUGCCCUCUAGUCAUAGUGACAGUAGUGGUAGGUUUGUCCACAUCUGCAAUAGGCUAACUAUACAGUCAACUCUAUCCUGCCCUCUAGUCAUAGUGACAGUAGUGGUAGGUUUGUCUACAUCUGCAAUAGGCUAACUAUACAGUCAACUCUAUCCUGCCCUCUAGUCAUAGUGACAGUAGUGGUAGGUUUGUCUACAUCUGCAAUAGGCUAACUAUACAGUCAACUCUAUCCUGCCCUCUAGUCAUAGUGACAGUAGUGGUAGGUUUGUCUACAUCUGCAAUAGGCUAACUAUACAGUCAACUCUAUCCUGCCCUCUAGUCAUAGUGACAGUAGUGGUAGGUUUGUCCACAUCUGCAAUAGGCUAACUAUACAGUCAACUCUAUCCUGCCCUCUAGUCAUAGUGACAGUAGUGGUAGGUUUGUCUACAUCUGCAAUAGGCUAACUAUACAGUCAACUCUAUCCUGCCCUCUAGUCAUAGUGACAGUAGUGGUAGGUUUGUCUACAUCUGCAAUAGGCUAACUAUACAGUCAACUCUAUCCUGCCCUCUAGUCAUAGUGACAGUAGUGGUAGGUUUGUCUACAUCUGCAAUAGGCUAACUAUACAGUCAACUCUAUCCUGCCCUCUAGUCAUAGUGACAGUAGUGGUAGGUUUGUCUACAUCUGCAAUAGGCUAACUAUACAGUCAACUCUAUCCUGCCCUCUAGUCAUAGUGACAGUAGUGGUAGGUUUGUCUACAUCUGCAAUAGGCUAACUAUACAGUCAACUCUAUCCUGCCC